ACAAUAUCCAGAAGAAGAGCUUACUGUCUAAAGUACAGGUGGCAAACACAAGGCCUGUGUUCUGAAUCCAGCCCUCCUUGUUUUGUCCGGCCCGGCACCUUGCUUCUACCCAGCGGCAGCGCCGGGCUCCUUGCCCCUAGUUAAGGAGCAGUUACAUUCACACAGUCCUAAAAUCACAUUCG
This is a long non-coding RNA of Phyllostomus discolor (pale spear-nosed bat), 182 nucleotides long. RefSeq lists it as uncharacterized. The transcript is spliced from 3 exons. The record is from RefSeq and is a predicted model, not a curated record. Lineage: Eukaryota; Metazoa; Chordata; Mammalia; Chiroptera; Phyllostomidae.